Phrynosoma platyrhinos (Desert horned lizard) is the source of this 72-nucleotide non-coding RNA. NCBI's taxonomy places the organism in Eukaryota, Metazoa, Chordata, Lepidosauria, Squamata, Phrynosomatidae. The record is from the annotation of a GenBank genome assembly.
GCCAACAUGAUGUAGUGGUUUGAGCGUUAGACUACAACUCUGGAGAUCGGGGUUUGAUUCCCUGCUUAGCCA